UAAGUAUACCGGAAGGUGUGCUUGGACA
Molecule: ribosomal RNA, 28 nt
Filed under: Pristimantis festae
Lineage: Eukaryota; Metazoa; Chordata; Amphibia; Anura; Strabomantidae
Description: partial 12S ribosomal RNA
Source: RNAcentral